AACGAACGCUGGCGGCAUGCCUAACACAUGCAAGUCGAACGAGACCUUCGGGUCUAGUGGCGCACGGGUGCGUAACGCGUGGGAACCUGCCCUUAGGUUCGGAAUAACUCCCCGAAAGGGGUGCUAAUACCGGAUAAUGUCUUCGGACCAAAGAUUUAUCGCCUUUGGAUGGGCCCGCGUUGGAUUAGCUAGUUGGUAGGGUAAAAGCCUACCAAGGCGACGAUCCAUAGCUGGUCUGAGAGGAUGAUCAGCCACACUGGGACUGAGACACGGCCGAGACUCCUACGUGAGGCAGCAGGGGGGAAUAGUGGACAAUGGGCGAAAGCCUGAUCCAGCAAUGCCGCGUGAGUGAUGAAGGCCUUAGGGUUGUAAAGCUCUUUUACCCGGGAUGAUAAUGACAGUACCGGGAGAAUAAGCUCCGGCUAACUCCGUG
This 433-nucleotide ribosomal RNA is filed under the name uncultured bacterium. RNAcentral's name for it is "partial 16S ribosomal RNA". It matches the Rfam family "Bacterial small subunit ribosomal RNA", at positions 29 to 507 of the family's 1533-position model. The record is from RNAcentral.